RNAcentral lists this ribosomal RNA (152 nucleotides) under uncultured Elaphomycetaceae. RNAcentral's name for it is "5.8S ribosomal RNA". It matches the Rfam family "5.8S ribosomal RNA". From Rfam's summary of the family: 5.8S ribosomal RNA (5.8S rRNA) is a component of the large subunit of the eukaryotic ribosome. It is transcribed by RNA polymerase I as part of the 45S precursor that also contains 18S and 28S rRNA. Functionally, it is thought that 5.8S rRNA may be involved in ribosome translocation. Lineage: Eukaryota; Fungi; Ascomycota; Eurotiomycetes; Eurotiales; Elaphomycetaceae. The record is from RNAcentral.
CUUUCAACAAUGGAUCUCUUGGUUCCGGCAUCGAUGAAGAACGCAGCGAAAUGCGAUAAGUAAUGCGAAUUGCAGAAUUCCGUGAGUCAUCGAAUCUUUGAACGCACAUUGCGCCCCCCGGCUUCCCGGGGGGCAUGCCUGUCCGAGCGUCA